AACGAACGCUGGCGGCAUGCCUAACACAUGCAAGUCGAACGAGACCUUCGGGUCUAGUGGCGCACGGGUGCGUAACGCGUGGGAACCUGCCCUUAGGUUCGGAAUAACUCCCCGAAAGGGGUGCUGAUACCGGAUAAUGUCUUCGGACCAAAGAUUUAUCGCCUUUGGAUGGGCCCGCGUUGGAUUAGCUAGUUGGUAGGGUAAAAGCCUACCAAGGCGACGAUCCAUAGCUGGUCUGAGAGGAUGAUCAGCCACACUGGGACUGAGACACGGCCCAGACUCCUACGGGAGGCAGCAGUGGGGAAUAUUGGACAAUGGGCGAAAGCCUGAUCCACCAAUGCCGCGUGAGUGAUGAAGGCCUUAGGGUUGUAAAGCUCUUUUACCCGGGAUGAUAAUGACAGUACCGGGAGAAUAAGCUCCGGCUAACUCCGUG
RNAcentral lists this ribosomal RNA (433 nucleotides) under uncultured bacterium. RNAcentral describes it as "partial 16S ribosomal RNA". It matches the Rfam family "Bacterial small subunit ribosomal RNA", at positions 29 to 507 of the family's 1533-position model. The record is from RNAcentral.